Hydractinia symbiolongicarpus is the source of this 2786-nucleotide long non-coding RNA. RefSeq lists it as uncharacterized. The record is from RefSeq and is a predicted model, not a curated record. Lineage: Eukaryota; Metazoa; Cnidaria; Hydrozoa; Anthoathecata; Hydractiniidae. The transcript is spliced from 3 exons.
AUGCGUUUAACCAUCAAUAAAUGUCUGGUAUCAUGUUUGAAGUAACGUUUUUAUGAAUAUCGACAAAAAGAUAAAAUAGAAUAAAUCUGACGAAACUAAAAAAAAGAAUUUUUAAUUCAAAUUUGUUUUUAUACGUUUUGUAUACAAAACAUCUUCAAAACACCUUCUAUGGGAAAAUAUCUAAAGUGUUCUGAAUAAUCGAGCAAACUGGUGUUACAAAGAUACAAAACUUGGCGAAUAACCACUGAUGUUAAAAGUAACUUAUUGUUAAGAAUACAGUUGUGUUUCAAUGACAACACCCCAUCCAUAAAUGAAGACGAAUUCAUCAAAAUAAAUGUUGUUUCUGUAUCACUAUCGGUCAUUCCCUUGACACAACGACACAACACUACGAAAUGACAUCAUUUGACGCUAAGAAACUGUCAACACGAAAACGAGGUGGAUACAGACCCGAAUAAAGCCUGGCUGAAGACUUUACUUAAUUUCUAAACCAUACAAUGAAAAAUUUAAAUUCUUGAAAUAUUAUUUUUGCACCACAAGGCUAGAAUUUUACCAUAGAUUGUACCACCUAAAAAAUCGGGGUCAUAUCUCUGACAACUAAAGGUUAGGGUUGUUAUUUUCUCUCAGUUACAUCACAACCUUCUACGUACGAAGAAAGAAAAAGCACGUAAUCCUCUAAGUACACGGAAUAUUUAUGAUGCGAUCAUGCGAUGACGUCAUUCUAAAUGACAUUUCCUAAUAUGGUAUCAAGAAGUAAUAUGUCGUGUCCGUUAUUCAUGGCAAAUAUCACUUCAUCGAAGAUGGUUUUAAAAAUAUCCCUCCACCGUGCAUUCAGCUAGAUGCGUUUAACAAGAACGAUAGAAAAUGAUGAAUGUUUUGUUAUCAAGUGUCACUUUCUUAUGAUAUGCAGACGAAAAGGUUACGAUGGCCUACAUUUUAUUAUAUGCGAUGGAGAGCAAGGUGUGGACAGGUGUAUUACGGACUUCUUAUGUUUAUAUCUAGAUAUUCUUGGACAGUUUUGAAUACGAACUAUAAAAGCAUUGGAAUUUAAGUUAUUUAAGAAAUUCCAAAUAUCUUAACUCAAGUGUUUUUCUUUAAUCGGACAUGCAAUGUUUUAAACGAAAAAAAAUAUAUGCAUAUCGGUUGGAGGUUAUUAUCUUAGGUCGUCAAUGUUCUGUUUGACAAAUACUGCAGACUUUGUGUCUUUUGCUAACUUUUAUCGAAGCUUGUAAUGUAUGCUUUGCGAAGUAUUACAUUCUUCAGACAGGGGUAACUUUUGUAAAUUUUUGAAUGUGCUGAUCUGCUUGUAUGAGUGAUGUAAUUAUUUAUUGCAUAUAUUUCCGUUACCAGGUGGUUACUAAGGUGUACUAAGCUAAUGAGAUAGAUGGCUCACAGGGCUAACAGACAUUUAAAGGAAAGAUCGUUCCAUUCCAAUAACGUCAUAACAGUGUAUCCAUUACUUGGAAAUCUACAAAUGCCAUAUUCCAACUUUGUAGCUACCAAGUUUAAUGACAUGAACAUAAAUAUUCAAGAACAUCAGAUGUUUUCACCUUUAUCAUUCAAAAAUAACAAACUUUAUUACAAAUAUGAUAUCAUUUUUAAUCCCAAUAACAACAUAAAUUUAUUGUUUUACUUUAAAUAUGUUUGUAGUUAGACUUUUUACAAAUAUGCCAAACUUUAUCAUCUAGGCAUAAGUAUUUCCGGAUUUAUGAACCGCGGGCACUUUAUGCCCCCCUCUCCCCUGGGUACAAGUUACUACAACAGCAGAAUUUAGAUACCAAUAAGCACGUUUAACUCUGCACAUAAGCGCUAUUGGGCACUCUCUGGUAUUUAAAUAUCAGAAACUGAAUAAUUUUUUCGCAUUUUAAUUAAAUUAUUUUAAAAUACUUUUACAUCAUGUAGACAUUACCGAUGAUCAUUACUUAAAUAUUCAGUAUUUUAAGAGUUUGAUUCAAAAAAGUAACUCUUACAUGUAGAUAUUAUUUCAGUGCAGACUGUUUUAUCCCAGUACGCUCUUGAAUUUAAAUUGAGAUAACUUAAAUCAGAAAAUAUUCAAGUAAACUCAGAAUUUUUCUUCGAGAAUCAAUGUCCCUUUAAACCAGUCUGUUUUUUGCUUACAUAAUUGGAUUUUCUCAUUCCUGUUUUGCUCUUUGUUACAAGACUUACAUUUUCCAUAUUUGUAGCUGGUUAUCGCUUUUUCUAAAGAUAUUUUACAAGUUGUAUGACUGAGCAUGACUGUGCUUAUUGUAAAGUCAAAGUCCAGUAAGUGUAUACUUUGAUGCCCUUAAGCUUACAUAAUGCAAACAAGCAGUAAACCAAGAGAGAUGAAUAACGUGACUGUUUAUCAGAGCAGGUAUAUUAAAAGAGGAUGGCCUGAUGGCCUAUAAUAAAAUAUCUACAACUCUACACUUAUCUUACGUUCAUAAUCUGCAAAUGUUUGUUAUAUCAUCAUAAGUCAUAUUUUGACAUAAUUCUUCAUUUGAUGCUCCAAAUUAAUUUCUCUAAUCAUUCUUAUCAAACUAAUAGUUAUUAUGGUCUAAUACAAGUCGAAAAUUCAUUUUAAAAAGGAGUAAACCAAAUAAUCAACCUAGAAAUAUUUUGAGCUUCGACCCAAACUUCUGCAGGAAUCUUUUAUCCUGAGGUGCUCCUAGAAUUGAAUUUCGGAAAUUAAAGUAUUCAAGGUUAUCAUUAGUACACAAACUUGUCCAAAACAAACAUCUGAGGAUUUGCAAGGACAAAUGCACAAAAACAGCCAUUUUGGAAUACUGCUUCCUUAAGACCUCCUAACA